GCUGAGAUAUGGCAUUUUUGAUGCCCAUUUUUGGCCUCAGAAACGGACGUCGAAAACGACUUUUUCAGGAUUUUCAGAGUGCUCUCAUUCCCUUAGUUCUGCUCGGAUCCUGUUAUAACCCGGUAUUUUCGUAAUCUAGGUGACCCAAAUAAGACGCUGGUAUACUUAGUUUGAUUUCGAAAAAAAUCAAUUUUUGGUGAAAAAAUUCGAUACGGGGGGUAUACCCAAAAAAAUGAAAAAUUCCAAACUUUGAAGGUCGAUAUCUCGGCUUCUAUGGGAGCUAUCGGGAAAAUUCCAACGGUUUUGUCUUAGUUUUGUCAUUCUGAAUCCAACGAGACCAUCCGCAAGGUCGUAGCACUUCUAAUAGCCGAGAUAUGGCAUUUUUGAUGCCCAUUUUUGGCCUCAAAAACGGACGUCGAAAACGACUUUUUCAGGAUUUUCAGAGUGCUCUCAUUCCCUUAGUUCUGCUCGGAUCCUGUUAUAACCCGGUAUUUUCGUAAUCUAGGUGACCCAAAUAAGACGCUGCUAUACUUAGUUUGAUUUCGAAAAAAAUCAAUUUUUGGUGAAAAAAUUCGAUACGGGGGGGUAUACCCGAAAAAUGAAAAAUUCCAAACUUUGAAGGUCGAUAUCUCGGCUUCUAUGGGAGCUAUCGGGAAAAUUCCAACGGUUUUGUCUUAGUUUCAUAGUUCUGAAUCCAACGAGACCAUCCGCAAAAUCGUAGCUUUUACGAUAGCCGAGAUAUGGCAUUUUUGAUGCCCAUUUUUGGCCUCAAAAACGGACGUCGAAAACGACUUUUUCAGGAUUUUCAAAGUGCUCUCAUUCCCUUAGUUCUGCUCGGAUCCUGUUAUAACCCGGUGUUUUCAUAAUCUAGGUGACCCAAAUAAGACGCUGGUACACUUAGUUUGAUUUUGAAAAAAAUCAAUUUUUGGUGAAAAAAUUCGAUACGGGGGGGUAUACCCGAAAAAUUAAAAAUUCCAAACUUUGAAGGUCGUUAUCUCGGCUUCUAUGGGAGCUAUCGGGAAAAUUCUAACGGUUUUGUCUUAGUUUUGUCAUUCUGAA
Long non-coding RNA from Anthonomus grandis grandis, 1059 nucleotides. RefSeq lists it as uncharacterized. NCBI's taxonomy places the organism in Eukaryota, Metazoa, Arthropoda, Insecta, Coleoptera, Curculionidae. The record is from RefSeq and is a predicted model, not a curated record. The transcript is spliced from 3 exons.